Molecule: ribosomal RNA, 439 nt
Filed under: uncultured bacterium
Lineage: Bacteria
Description: partial 16S ribosomal RNA
Rfam family: Bacterial small subunit ribosomal RNA
Source: RNAcentral
CCUACGGGAGGCAGCAGUGGGGAAUAUUGCACAAUGGGCGAAAGCCUGAUGCAGCAACGCCGCGUGAGCGAUGAAGGCCUUCGGGUCGUAAAGCUCUGUCCUCAAGGAAGAUAAUGACGGUGCUUGAGCCGGAAGCCCCGGCUAACUACGUGCCAGCAGCCGCGGUAAUACGUAGGGGGCUAGCGUUAUCCGGAAUUACUGGGCGUAAGGGGUUCGUAGGUGGUUUCUUAAGUUAGAGGUGAAAGGCUACGGCGCAACCGUAGUAUGCCCUUGAAACUGGGAAACUUGAGUGCAGGAGAGGAGAGUGGAAUUCCUAGUGUAGCGGUGAAAUGCGUAGAUAUUAGGAGGAACACCAGUUGCGAAGGCGGCUCUCUGGACUGUAACUGACACUGAGGCACGAAAGCGUGGGGAGCAAACAGGAUUAGAUACCCCGGUAGUC